This is a long non-coding RNA of Bombus terrestris (buff-tailed bumblebee), 280 nucleotides long. RefSeq lists it as uncharacterized. NCBI's taxonomy places the organism in Eukaryota, Metazoa, Arthropoda, Insecta, Hymenoptera, Apidae. The record is from RefSeq and is a predicted model, not a curated record. The transcript is spliced from 2 exons.
GUCACAGGUAGGUCUGCAGCAGCUGAUGUAUCGAGUAUCGUGCCACGUCAACGCCUACCCACAGACCACAGGAAAAAAGAAAUCCGAUCCUGCCAGGAUUCGAACCUGGAAUCUUCUGAUCCGUAGUCAGACGCGUUAUCCGUUGCGCCACAGGACCGACCUUCGUUUUAGUUUUUAUGUACUUGUACAAAUAUAGUAUUUAUAUUAUAUAUUAAAAUUGUAUUUAUGUUUGUAUGAUUUUGGUUAAAUAAAAUAAAUCCCUUAAUACUUUGACAGUAAA